Molecule: small nuclear RNA, 107 nt
Filed under: Meriones unguiculatus (Mongolian gerbil)
Lineage: Eukaryota; Metazoa; Chordata; Mammalia; Rodentia; Muridae
Source: RNAcentral
GUGCUAGCUUCGGCAGCACAUAUACUAAAAUUGGAACUAUACAGAGAAGAUUAGCAUGGCCCCUGUGCAAGGAUGACACACAAAUUUGUGAAGCGUUCCAUAUUUUU